RNAcentral lists this ribosomal RNA (410 nucleotides) under uncultured bacterium. RNAcentral describes it as "bacterial SSU rRNA". It matches the Rfam family "Bacterial small subunit ribosomal RNA", at positions 8 to 418 of the family's 1533-position model. The record is from RNAcentral.
AGAGUUUGAUCCUGGCUCAGAUUGAACGCUGGCGGCAUGCUUUACACAUGCAAGUCGAACGGCAGCACGGGAGCUUGCUCCUGGUGGCGAGUGGCGAACGGGUGAGUAAUGCAUCGGAACGUAUCCAAUAAUGGGGGAUAACGCAGCGAAAGCUGUGCUAAUACCGCAUACGCCCUGAGGGGGAAAGUGGGGGACCGCAAGGCCUCACGUUAAUGGAGCGGCCGAUGUCAGAUUAGCUAGUUGGUGAGGUAAGGGCUCACCAAGGCGACGAUCUGUAGCUGGUCUGAGAGGAUGAUCAGCCACACUGGAACUGAGACACGGUCCAGACUCCUACGGGAGGCAGCAGUGGGGAAUUUUGGACAAUGGGGGCAACCCUGAUCCAGCCAUGCCGCGUGAGUGAAGAAGGCCUU